CGGGUGAGUAACACGUGGGUGACCUGCCCUUAGCUCUGGGAUAAGCCUGGGAAACUGGGUCUAAUACCGGAUAUGACCUCAUGACGCAUGUUGUGGGGUGGAAAGCCUUGUGCGGCUAGGGAUGGGCCCGCGGCCUAUCAGCUUGUUGGUGGGGUGAUGGCCUACCAAGGCGACGACGGGUAGCCGGCCUGAGAGGGCGACCGGCCACACUGGGACUGAGACACGGCCCAG
This 231-nucleotide ribosomal RNA is filed under the name uncultured bacterium. Its description in RNAcentral is "partial 16S ribosomal RNA". It matches the Rfam family "Bacterial small subunit ribosomal RNA", at positions 103 to 334 of the family's 1533-position model. The record is from RNAcentral.